CCCUAAACCCUAAACCCUAAACCCUAAACCCUAAACCCUAAACCCUAAACCCUAAACCCUAAACCCUAAACCCUAAACCCUAAACCCUAAACCCUAAACCCUAAACCCUAAACCCUAAACCCCGGAUCGUCGGACGACGCGACAGGCUGCGCGGUGCGCGACGGACAGAUUGCGAAAGAGCAGCGGGAGGGGCGCUUUUCAGUUGCUGGUUUGAUUUGCAAAAAAUUGCGUCUAACACCGCCUCGCCUCGACCGUCCGCGACCACCUCACCCGCUCGCCUCCUCCCGCGCGACAGCCUCGAACGGGGACUCGUCCAGGACGCGUCGCCUGUUAGAAUCCAGCCCCGUCUUCGCGCCGCCGCGGUCGCCGCGCUUCGGCUUCGGCUUCGGCUUCGGCAGCCGCCGCGCGCCGCCGCCGGCUUUCGCGCCGCCGCCGCCGCCGCCGCCGCCGCCGCCCGGCGCCUGCCCCCCCGUCAUCCCGCUCUCCUUCGACGCGUCGUGCCGCUUCCCCGCCGUCGGGUCCGUGCUCGCGCUCGUGUGCGUCGUCGUCGUCUUCUUCGUAUUCGUCGCCGCAGAUCCCGCGUCCGCGACCGCGAACANNNN
RNAcentral lists this long non-coding RNA (602 nucleotides) under Micromonas pusilla. RNAcentral's name for it is "long non-coding RNA (MPUS_LNC000193)". Lineage: Eukaryota; Viridiplantae; Chlorophyta; Mamiellophyceae; Mamiellales; Mamiellaceae. The record is from RNAcentral.